CGGCCCACGUGUCCGGAAGAAGCUCCUCCUGAUCGGCUGGUGUUUCCCGACGGAGCUCCCCUGAAGGAAAACGCAGCGGCAGGUUGCAGAAACUUGAGCCCGGCCGCUGCGACAGGAGGGCCGGCGGGCUGGCCGCAGGCUGAGCCCCUGCAGCUGAAACAUGGGCCUCCUGGCGAGGCUGCGGAAGGAGUGGUUCAUCAUCGGGAUAGUGCUGGUCAUCCUGUCGGCCAAACUGCAGCCCAGUGUCGGUGUUAAAGGAGGUCCAUUAAAGCCAGAGAUAACCAUUGCCUACGUCGCUGUUUCCCUCAUCUUCUUCAACAGUGGCCUGUCGCUGAAAACGGAGGAGCUGACGAGCGCGUUGCUUCAUGUCCGCCUCCACCUCUUCGUCCAGUCCUUCACACUGAUUUUCUUCCCCCUCGCCGUCUGGCUGCUGCUUCAGGUCCUCACGCUGACCACCAUCGACCAGUGGCUGCUAAAAGGGUUACAGACGGUGAGCUGCAUGCCCCCUCCGGUCUCAUCCGCCGUUAUUCUCACCAAAGCUGUCGGAGGCAACGAGGCCGCUGCCAUCUUUAACUCCGCCUUCGGAAGCUUCCUGGGGAUCGUGGUGACUCCGUUGCUGCUGCUGCUCUUUCUUGGAUCUUCAUCCUCUGUUCCCUUCACCUCCAUCUUCUCUCAGCUCUUCAUGACAGUCGUCGUUCCCCUGAUCCUGGGUCAGGCGUGCCGCGGUUUUCUUAGGGAGUUCCUGGAGCGACGAAGGCCUCCGUUCAGCGCCAUCAGCAGCGCCGUCCUCCUCAUGAUCAUCUACACCACUUUCUGCGACACCUUCAGCAACCCCAACAUCGAGCUGGACCCCACCAGCCUGCUGCUGGUCGUCCUCAUCAUUUUCUCCAUCCAGGUCAGCUUCAUGCUGCUCACAUUUGGCAUUUCCACCAGGUCUGGAUCCAGAUUCAGCCCAGCCGACACCGUCGCCAUCAUGUUCUGCUCCACGCACAAGUCUCUCACUCUGGGCAUUCCCAUGCUGAAGAUCGUUUUCGAAGGCUACGAGCACCUGUCUCUGAUCUCAGUCCCGUUGCUGAUCUACCACCCGGCCCAGAUCCUGCUCGGCUCCAUCCUGGUGCCGACGAUCCGGAGCUGGAUGGCAAGCCGACAGAAGACUAGUCUGUUGUUGAGAUAGGGCCACGUUCCAACACCUCUGUACCCUCUGACAGGUGGCGCCAUUUAGUCAAGCUUAAGCCCUUCAAGAAGCAACCACUGCUGUAAACACGUCUUCAAUUGUUUUUUAAAGCAAUUAAUCAAAAGCCAGAGUAUUUCAAAUCUAAACUGUAAAAUCCUCUAUCGAAACCUUUCACCUCUCAUAAUUUUGUCAGAAUCCUUCAUUUGUCGCUUAGUGGGAUAAUUGGCAUUAAUUUCUGCAGCCAAAAUACAGGUUAGAAAGUUUGUACAAAAUGUUCCCAAACAUUAACAUAAGGAAAUUAAAUAUAGAAAUACACAAAUUUAAAAAAUGUAAAAACUAUUAUAUAUUAACAAACAAGAUGAUAAUUCUUUAGGGAAUAAAAAACGAAUUAGAAGUAAUGUACAACAGUAACAGUAUUUAAAACCUUUAUCUUUAUCUGUGAUAAACUGGAUCGGGGGCUUGGCUCUAUUUUAGGUUGGUUCCAGUUCUAAACCGGUACUGGAAAUGGUUCUACAGUGCAGAUAAAAAGGGAUCAAACUGUCAAACCUGCAGCCCAUCUGAUGGGUCUCGGAGCGGCGAAAGGACACAGCUGCCAAAAAGUGCCUUUUUACGACCAACAACAACCAGGACCUCCUCAUGGCAGAGCGGCAUUGAGUGCCCGCCUUGAUAGCCUGUUUCUAUUUCCUACAUUAACAAAAAAAAAACUCACAUUUGCACCAUUUAUAUUGUUUUAUAUUUAAAUGAAAUGUGUUUUAUUUUUUAUAUCUUGAACACAGAAAAAAAAACAAUCCUGGGGGGAGAAAAGGAGUAUUUUGAGGAACCAAGUGGGCGGGGUUUCUGGGACCAGUUCUUCCAGGUGUCACUGCCAGCAAUUGUAAAUGUUUUUGCUCAACUUACUGCAGGAUUGUGAUGUCUAAUAUACAAAGUAACACCUACA
Girardinichthys multiradiatus is the source of this 2111-nucleotide RNA transcript. It is a transcript of the gene named solute carrier family 10 member 7, with no coding region annotated. Lineage: Eukaryota; Metazoa; Chordata; Actinopteri; Cyprinodontiformes; Goodeidae. The transcript has 14 exons. The record is from RefSeq and is a predicted model, not a curated record.